UCCUACAAGCAGGAAAUGCUCCAGGAAGUUCAGGACUAUUUCUCUCCACUGAUGCUAAGCCUCGAUUGAAAUGGACACCAGAGCUCCAUCAACGUUUUAUAGAAGCAGUGAAUCAACUGGGUGGAGCAGACAGUGAGCAUACAGAUAAAGAAGAAUACAAAAGAAUAGCAGCAAAAUUUGCUUCUUCCAGUAGAAAAUGAAUUCUUUCAAGUUUGCUAAUUCAAAAUUUUCAUGUUUCAGGGGCUACUCCAAAAACAGUUAUGAGGCUCAUGAGCAUUCCAGGACUGACUUUAUAUCACCUAAAAAGCCAUCUCCAGGUACCAAUAGAUUCUCUAUUUUUCACUUGAAAAUUUUGAUCUAUGAACACUGAAAAUAAGUUGGUAUUCCGGUUUUCAGAAAUACAGGCUUAGUAAAAAUUUUCAAGCUCAAGCUUGUUCUGGGACUACCAAGAAAGGUAGGAAAGCAGUCUCCCAAAGUUUAUCUUGGACAUCUUUAACAUAUGGAAUGAUGUAAAAUUAGAUUCACCAUUUCAGUUAUAGGAUCUGUAAUAGCAGCUGACAGGACAUCUGAAGUGAGUGGACCACUAAUCAGCAAUACAAACAUUGCCUCUCAUUCAUACAAGUAAGUUGUCAAAAAAGCAAACACUAGAUUAUUCUUCUAAGAAAGUGGCACUGAUUGUAUGUUUCUGAAUCUCAGAACCAUGCAAAUAAGUGAAGCACUUCAGAUGCAAAUUGAAGUGCAAAGACAGCUACAUGAGCAACUUGAGGUGAGGGCCGGUAACUAAAUAGCUAAUACUGUUUCAAAUGAUGACUGACCAACCAACAAAAUCCUGCUUUGGGUGAUAAACUCUGCAUUUUGAAGCACCUUUAUUUUAAUAAUAUGAACAAAAAGAAGAUUCAAUCAUAAGCAGCAUUCAACUGCAGGCACAGUUUUAGUGCUAAAUGCCUUAUGAUUUGUUUUACAGUAUUACAUAAUGAUAAAAUAGCGACAUCAUGACAAAGCACACAGACAGAUAGAAAUCCUGCCACCCCAAGAAACACGAGAGGUAUACAGAUGCAAUCAAGUUUGCUUCCAAUUUUCAUGAUGUAAAUGAAGAGGAAGAGGGUGGUGCCAAUCUUUGAAUUCUUGCCAAUUUUAUAACAGGAAGAGCCCCUGGCCACCAAGGCAUGAGGGGUAUUGCUAAUUUUCAUGACAUAAAAUGACAUGAAUGAAACAACAAAAAACCUUCAGUUUAUUAGUUCUGGUUGUUUAACACAUAAAGUAAAUGUGGCGCAAAGAAUAUGUGUGAUUCCCAUUUUUUAAUCUACUCAAAGGGUUAAAAGUUGCAAGAAAGCUACCCUGGACUGAAAUAAUAAAGUUCCUUUUUUCUUCUGUCCUUUUCCACCUGGCUAGUCUCUCAUAUCAUGCCAAUAGAUAGAAGACAAGCCUUGGUCUAAACCAGAGAUUAUACUGGAAUCAAACAGGUGCAGAGGC
RNAcentral lists this long non-coding RNA (1473 nucleotides) under Elaeis guineensis (African oil palm). RNAcentral's name for it is "long non-coding RNA (EGUI_LNC013365)". Lineage: Eukaryota; Viridiplantae; Streptophyta; Magnoliopsida; Arecales; Arecaceae. The record is from RNAcentral.